RNAcentral lists this ribosomal RNA (253 nucleotides) under uncultured bacterium. RNAcentral describes it as "partial 16S ribosomal RNA". It matches the Rfam family "Bacterial small subunit ribosomal RNA", at positions 524 to 776 of the family's 1533-position model. The record is from RNAcentral.
UACGUAGGGUGCGAGCGUUAAUCGGAAUUACUGGGCGUAAAGCGUGCGCAGGUGGUCAUGCAAGACAGAUGUGAAAUCCCCGGGCUUAACCUGGGAACUGCAUUUGUGACUGCACGGCUAGAGUGCGGCAGAGGGGGAUGGAAUUCCGCGUGUAGCAGUGAAAUGCGUAGAUAUCAGGAGGAACACCGGUGGCGAAGGCGGAUCUCUGGGCCUUACCUGACGCUGAGGCGCGAAAGCUAGGGGAGCGAACAGG